Salmo salar (Atlantic salmon) is the source of this 533-nucleotide non-coding RNA. NCBI's taxonomy places the organism in Eukaryota, Metazoa, Chordata, Actinopteri, Salmoniformes, Salmonidae. The record is from RefSeq and is a predicted model, not a curated record.
CCACCAUAUUGCUUUCAAUCACCCUGUGUUUUCAGACCAGAACACGAAGGAGAGCAGAGGAGACGAGAGGAAGCCACUUUAAACUAUUGAGAUGCAGCCUUUAGGCUCUCGUCUGUCACACCGUCAGAUCAGUGGUUGUUGAGGAAAGGAGAAAAGCCGAGGGCCUCCUGAGUGCUGUGACAGUGAUGGGUGAGGACACAGAGGAAGUUGGCACGGGGGCAGUCGCCCUGGAGAACACACACAGCCUUACAAGGACAAGGCAUGCUCCAACCAACUCCCAGAGUAUGACACUACUGGAGGAACCACCACUGAGGAUCAAACAAGGCCUUAAACGAUCUGUGUCCAGAUGAAACACACACACUCAUCACCAGAAGGGGAAUGGAGGAUACAGCACCAAAAUCUGGGUCAAUUUUUUGAAAGCGAGAGGAAGAUGGAGGGAGAGAAAGAGCCACCCUUAGAGAACAUCUCACAGAAAGAGACAGAGGGAAGGAACAAGAGGAAGAUAAAGAACAAGAUGUUCUAGAGAAGAAGAG